AGUGAUUGGCAUCCGGUAUCCACUUUUAUUUCUUUGUUUGAGGAGAUUAGUGUAAGUCCAUAGAGUGGCCUCUGAUAUCCAAUUCUGUUUUAGGAGAUUGGUAUAAGCCCAGUGAUUGGCAUCCGGUAUCCGCUUUUGUUGACUUUCUUCUUUGUUUGUUUGUUAUUAUCCAUUGCCUAUUCCAAAGGACACACUUGAAUCAUCUCCUAUAUGAUCUCAAGAAGCGAACCUUCUAAGAAUUUUUACAAUCCAUCUUCAUCCAUUCAUCCCCAUUAUGUCCUAAACCUUUUCACACUUUGAUUUCAAACUUGAGAUAGAUAUUGUGCAAACAUCUUCAUGUUUUCAAACCAAAAACCUGGACCCCAAG
RNAcentral lists this long non-coding RNA (367 nucleotides) under Lathyrus oleraceus (garden pea). RNAcentral's name for it is "Pisum sativum (pea) long non-coding RNA (PSAT_LNC039659)". Lineage: Eukaryota; Viridiplantae; Streptophyta; Magnoliopsida; Fabales; Fabaceae. The record is from RNAcentral.